This 431-nucleotide ribosomal RNA is filed under the name uncultured bacterium. Its description in RNAcentral is "bacterial SSU rRNA". It matches the Rfam family "Bacterial small subunit ribosomal RNA", at positions 355 to 796 of the family's 1533-position model. The record is from RNAcentral.
UCGAGGAUCUUCGUCAAUGGGCGCAAGCCUGAACGAGCGACGCCGCGUGGGCGAUGAAGGCCUUCGGGUUGUAAAGCCCUGUCGAGGGGGAGAAAAGCGCAAGCUUGAUCGAUCCCUGGAGGAAGCACGGGCUAAGUUCGUGCCAGCAGCCGCGGUAAGACGAACCGUGCGAACGUUGUUCGGAAUCACUGGGCUUAAAGGGCGCGUAGGCGGCUCGCGAGGUCGGGGGUGAAAGCCCGCAGCUCAACUGCGGAAGGGCCUUCGAUACCGGCGAGCUCGAGGAGGGUAGGGGUGCGCGGAACUUCUGGUGGAGCGGUGAAAUGCGUUGAUAUCAGAAGGAACGCCGGCGGCGAAAGCGGCGCACUGGACCCUUUCUGACGCUGAGGCGCGAAAGCCAGGGGAGCAAACGGGAUUAGAUACCCCCGUAGUCC